CGGCGAACGGGUGAGUAACACGUGAGUAACCUGCCCUUGGCUUUGGGAUAACCCUCGGAAACGGGGGCUAAUACCGGAUAUUCAUUUGCUGCGGCAUCGUGGUGGGUGGAAAGUUUUUCGGCCUGGGAUGGGCUCGCGGCCUAUCAGCUUGUUGGUGGGGUGAUGGCCUACCAAGGCGACGACGGGUAGCCGGCCUGAGAGGGCGACCGGCCACACUGGGACUGAGACACGGCCCAG
Molecule: ribosomal RNA, 237 nt
Filed under: uncultured bacterium
Lineage: Bacteria
Description: partial 16S ribosomal RNA
Rfam family: Bacterial small subunit ribosomal RNA
Source: RNAcentral